RNAcentral lists this long non-coding RNA (624 nucleotides) under Rattus norvegicus (Norway rat). RNAcentral's name for it is "long non-coding RNA NONRATT000168". Lineage: Eukaryota; Metazoa; Chordata; Mammalia; Rodentia; Muridae. The record is from RNAcentral.
CUGCAGAGCUUCAGAUAUCUGUACUUUGUCCUCUUGUGAGUGAUGAGGUCUUUAAAAGCCUUGCUCUUGAAGUCGAUUUAACUCAACUUCUAACAUGAAGUCAUAGUUACAAAUGAUGACCACUUUAGACUGAGAGAAAAAUAAGACAUUGACUAAUGGUUCCAAACUUUAAAAGUCACCGUAAAAUGUUGUCAUUCUCAGAUGUAAUUGUUAAGUCUUUGCAGCCUGGUUGACCAUAGAAUGUCCUGUAAUCUGUGUUUGUUUCUACAGCGAUCCCGCCAUGAAGCAGUUUUUGCUGUACUUGGAUGAGUCCAAUGCCUUGGGGAAGAAGUUCAUCAUUCAAGACAUUGAUGACACACAUGUCUUUGUCAUUGCGGAACUGGUUAAUGUUCUCCAGGAGCGAGUAGGGGAACUGAUGGACCAGAAUGCCUUUUCUCUUACCCAGAAGUGAGAGCUCUAGUGUUAAGCACUUGGCAAUCCCAACCACAGACAGGAGAGAGGCCUGCUUAGUGUCUCCUGGAGUUUAGACUUGUUACAAGCAUUUGGUGGGAAAGGCUGCUGCAGGGUCAUUCACUCAGAUGUAAGCUCCCAACUGAUUUUGAUGGACCAUUAAAAAAAUCUUUG